Molecule: ribosomal RNA, 253 nt
Filed under: uncultured bacterium
Lineage: Bacteria
Description: partial 16S ribosomal RNA
Rfam family: Bacterial small subunit ribosomal RNA
Source: RNAcentral
UACGUAGGUGGCAAGCGUUGUCCGGAUUUACUGGGCGUAAAGAGCGCGCAGGCGGUUAUUCAAGUCGAAUGUGAAAGCCCCCGGCUUAACUGGGGAGGGUCAUUCGAUACUGUUUAACUUGAAGGCAGGAGAGGGUAGUGGAAUUCCCGGUGUAGUGGUGAAAUGCGUAGAGAUCGGGAGGAAGGCCGGUGGCGAAGGCGGCGCUCUGGAACAUUUCUGACGCUGAGGCUCGAAAGCGUGGGGAGCAAACAGG